Molecule: ribosomal RNA, 434 nt
Filed under: Centipeda dianae
Lineage: Bacteria; Bacillati; Bacillota; Negativicutes; Selenomonadales; Selenomonadaceae
Description: bacterial SSU rRNA
Rfam family: Bacterial small subunit ribosomal RNA
Source: RNAcentral
GACGAACGCUGGCGGCGUGCUUAACACAUGCAAGUCGAACGGAGCGAAUGAAAGCUUGCUUUUAUGAGCUUAGUGGCAAACGGGUGAGUAACACGUAGACAACCUGCCGACAGGAUGGGGACAACAUUCCGAAAGGAAUGCUAAUACCGAAUGAAGCGGAGGAGAGGCAUCUCUCUUCCGUGAAAGAUGGCCUCUGAACAUGCUAUCACCUGUCGAUGGGUCUGCGUCUGAUUAGCUGGUUGGUGAGGUAACGGCUCACCAAGGCGACGAUCAGUAGCCGGUCUGAGAGGAUGAACGGCCACAUUGGGACUGAGACACGGCCCAGACUCCUACGGGAGGCAGCAGUGGGGAAUCUUCCGCAAUGGGCGCAAGCCUGACGGAGCAACGCCGCGUGAGUGAAGAAGGUCUUCGGAUCGUAAAGCUCUGUUGACGGG